UGUAAGGAAUGAUCUCCAUUUCUGCCUUGAGAUAAUGGUUUCGUUCAGUGCAAUGAUGAAUUCUGUGUAGAAUGCUUCCAUCAGAAGCAUAAAAAGAAAACAGAUGUGUUUACAUUGUCUCCAUGGAGACACAAACACACAAGCUAAAUUCACACUAGGAUCAGGGGAAGAUUCCUCCUACUUUGCCUUCCAGAGGAGAAUUGUAGAGAGAAUAUUUGAAGCAAAUGAGACAGAACUGACUACAGACCAUUUUUCUCCCUCGCCUUUUCAGCAGAGGAUUCUUUGAUCCCUCAGCGAAGAUUCCUGAAUGCCAUGAUGGCUGCUUGUCGUUCCACUAAGAUUUUGGUGAGAGUUCAAAAUACUUGUUCUAGUGUGACAAUGGGUCCAGCAUUUGUGAAGAGGCGAAUCUGACUGGAUGAGGAAUGUGGCACUUGGUUGUCAGCUGUGGAAUCUCCAGAGUUUGCAGUAGUGAGAGUCUGAAUAUGCUGCUGGAAUACAGCAGAAAGCAAUAAAGGGAAGGAGGGUUCUCUUCCAUCUGAGAAGGAGGAUUGUACAAAGGAAAAAAUGAAGACAGAAAAACCCUGUCUCAGGGAAUUCUUGGGUAUGUUAUUUUGGUAAAAACCCACAGACUUAGGGACUUCUUAGGUAUGCUGUUUUGUAAAAAAUGAAAAUCCCUUACCUGUGCAUUUUAACAAGGCCAAAAGCAGCUGAUUCUUCCCAUCUAAAACAGUUAAGAAAAGAAAUGCUGUAGUCAACAUAAUACCAAGGUAGAUUUGAUUGCAGCUGGUUAACAGUUCCCUCAUUUGCCCCAAAUCCCUGGCACCGGCAUGGCCAUGUCUAUUUACUCUGAUAGCCCUCACCUGCACAGACAUGUUCAUGACUGAAAAAAACCUAAGUGUAAAGCAAAGAAUUUUACUGGCUAACUACCAUGAAUUACUGGAAACAAAUUGCAUUUGCAGAUGAAUCCCUAAGGAGGUGAUUAUUAUCCAGUGUUUCAAACUGAUCUGUAAACGUCAGUUUCAUCUCCUGUUUCAGUUCAACCAGACUGCAGUGGUUUAGGAUGUUGUAAUAUCUGACUAACAUUCACUUUACAGUUUGGAAUAUACCAAACAUCUCUCUCUUCAUUUUCUAAAAGGGUUUAAAAAGCACAGAAAGAUAGAUCAGUCUGACAUCAAUCUGAAUGUGCUGAUGAAAAGUUCUUUGGAAUUGCUGCACAGGUGCCAUUUUACCAUAAAGCACCAGGACUCUGGAAACCAUAACCUGCUCUACCUGGUCCUCUCUAGAGCCCAGGACAGCCUUAUUACAACGCAGAAAAGAAACCACAUCCUGAGCCCCAAAAGACCAUCAAGACCAAACAGUCAUCACACUCCCUGAGGAAAAAGAGAACAUGGUAUCAUCUGUUUGCUCUCUAUGGGAAUCAGUUUUCAAAAUAAGCAUUAUAUGAGGAUGAAUUUACUCUGGCAAUCAUCCAGCUGAAGAAAAGCAGAGCAAGUCAUUAAACAAAUUGAGGUAGAACCUUUGGUGCCUUAGAUGUUCAGUGGUCAGCCCCUCCUUGGCUUAUCAGAGCACUCCUUCACCUUGAAUCUAACUAUCCCUACUUUGUACCCUUUCAAAUACAUUUACAGCAAAGUGGGGAUUUGGAAACAUGUGAAAGAGCUGAAAGAAUUGAGCAGCAUGUAACAAAAGAGGCUUCUCUGUGUUUCAGGAGGAAUUCCUAUGAAAAUUACCUCUUUGAGGUACAAUAAUUUCAGGCAUGGCACCUGCCUAAUGCACAACUGGGUAGAUGGCAGAGUUAAGGAACUCUGUGUGGCCAUAGCACAUAUGCUUUCAUGUUAAGCUCUGAAGUCUUGGAAAUCACAUUAUUAAAUACAGUCAAUCUAUUUCUUUACCUUGCAAACUGUGGUC
This is a long non-coding RNA of Passer domesticus (house sparrow), 1905 nucleotides long. RefSeq lists it as uncharacterized. Lineage: Eukaryota; Metazoa; Chordata; Aves; Passeriformes; Passeridae. The record is from RefSeq and is a predicted model, not a curated record. The transcript has 4 exons.